CGGAGCAGGGAGCAGGAGAGGGGAGAGAGAGUCGAGAGGAGAGGGAGCGGGAGAGAGGUAAAGGGGAGGGAGGCUUGUGGUGGAGUGAGGGGAGCAGAGACCGUGGACGGGACUGGAGGCGGCUCCCAAAAUCCCUGGACUGUCCGGCGGUUUAGGGGCCGCAGCACCCCCGCAAUCCCUGCUGUGAGGGCGCGCAAAACCCAGGCAGCAACGCUGCGGGCUGCGUUCUGGAUGCACUGCUCUCCCGCGGAGCGCCUCCCGGGAACCGCAGAGGGUGCGCCGGCCCUGGCGUCGAGGGCCUCCUGUGGAAGGGUGAGAGGUAGCGAGGGGACCUCACGCAAGGAGCAGAUGCGGAGCAGGCUCUGCUGGGGGGCCGCCAGAAGGUGGAGGGGCGCAGGGAGCAGCGGCAGAGACAGCGAAUCCCAACGGAAAUGUGAGCCACGUUUACCAAUGGGACAACUUCCACUCCUGCUUUCUUAAUGGAACUCUUGUUAGAACGGAUGCAUUAGACUUCGCUCCUCGGACGGCAUGAGCCAGCUCCUGUCACUCCUCUCCUGCAGACUUCCCAGACACGUCAGGCUCCGGCUUUCGCUGCCAAGGGCCAGAGCCCUGUCGGUGGCCUCCAGGGUCCCACGUGACCUGGUCUCCAUCUGCCCUGCUCCCUUGUCAGGCAGUCCCCUGACCUCCAGUCCCACAGGGUGGCACCAAACCACAAGGGGCCCGAUGCACAGAUUCCCGGAGCAGUGAGGCCCUCUGCUGCCGAGCAGCGCACUUCAAACUACAGCCAGGCAGUUUGAGAGACUUCUCCGGAGCCUGAAGCUGUAUCCUUGGGAGGAGGAAGGGGAGGGAGUGCAGGGCGAGAUGGAGGAAAGGAGGGGGACAGUCCUGUGUUUGGGGGCAGCAAGCAGGUUAGGUAUCUGCCUGGGAUACCAUAUGAGCACCAGUUCCAGUCCCGCUGCUCCACUUCGGAUCCAGCUCCCUGCCAAUGCACCUGGGAAAGCAGAGAAGAUGGCCCAAGUGCUUGGGUCCCUGCCAUCUACGUGGGAGACCUGGAUGCAGCUCCUGGCUCUUGACUUUGGCCUGGCCUAGCCCCAGCUGUUGUGGCCAUCUGGGGAGUGAACCAGUGGAUGAAAGAUCCCUCUCUCUCUCUCUCUCUCUCUCUGUGUGUGUGUGUGUGUGUGUGAAUCUCUCUCUGUAUAACUCUUCCAAAUAAAAAAUAUCAAAAAUAAAAAGUGCGGUGCUUCGUGAUAGGGGAGGGAGAGACUUGUGGCAAUCUACCCUACAGCAGGGAUAUGGGACUGCCUCCCAGUGGCUCCUCACCAGGUUCCCAUAGCCCUGCUCCAGGAGGAAUCACAAGGCAACAGCUAAGAUUCGGGUCAGACGAUGGUCAGGCCUUGCCUGCACAGCCUGUGUAGAUGAGGAAGCUUGCUGGGCAUUUCAGCAGAGCCAAUCAAUGCUUUCCUUGCUUUGUGCACACACACCUCAAGCACCCUUUCACAUUGGGCCUUACAUUGACUGCUCCUUCUGCAUGAAUGCUCUUUCCCCAGACACACACCUUCCUGAUUAGUUUUCCUUCUUCAAGUCUCUGCUCAAAUCGUGCUGGCUCAAAGGCCUGCCUUAUGCAAUACGCUUUUAGUUACCUGUUGCUGUGUGGGAGCAAAACACCAGCCAUUCUGUUAGAUUCAUGGAUGCUGUGAUCAGAGAUAUGGGUGGAGCACAGGGUAGAUCAGUUGUCUCUGUGUUUUUAGGCUCAAGUAGUUGUGGCCUAGAAUUAUAGAAAACAAGGGCCAACAAACUACAAGCUAUGAGCCUACUACCUGGCUUUGCAUGGAAGUGUUAGCGGAACACAGCCGUUCAGGUUUGUAUUGUCUACGACUACUUUGUGCUGUACAGUAGGACUGAGAAGUUGUGACACAGACACCUUGGCCAACUUCUGAUCUGAAGGCUCAAGCACUCACAUAGGUGCCGCCCACAAGGAGGGGACGUGGAGACUGGGGCUGCAGACCAGAACGUCUCAACAAGACUUCUCCAUGGCAGCCUUGGCUUCACGGAAGUCACACAUGGCAGCUCAGGGCUCCAGGAGUUAGCAUUCCAGUGAGCAAGAUGACAUGGCAUAGCUCCACCUCACCCUUCUCCCUCUCUCCCUCUCUUAAAGAUUUCCUUUAUUUGAAAGGCUGAAUGACAGAGGAGAGAGAGAGACAGAGGAAGCCACUGGUUCACUCCCCAAAUGGCUGCACUGAUAUGGGAUGCCAGGGUUGAAGGCAGUGGCUUAACCAGAUGUGUCACAAUGCCAGCCCCUAACCCUACUCUCUUGAUGGAAGCCAUCAUGACCCUACCCACAGGAAGGAGAACCCUAUACCCCAUCUUUUGAUGAUAGACGUGUAAAGAAUUUGUAGCCAUGUUUUAAAACUUCUACUAGUGCCAAAACCUAGCUAAAAUGUGGGAUAUCAGGUCUACACUAUGCAUUUUGUGCAAGCCCUGUACCCAGAGGACAUUGCAAUUGUUCUAAUUAUUCAGAUGGCCAAAACAUGAGACUAAAAACACCAGACCCUAUAUUACACUAUGAUUCCUGUGCCUCCAGGACCUCUGCCCAAAGACGACAUUUGUACAACUUCAACAGGCCAACACUCACCUGGAACCCACACUGUAGGGCCCUCCCUGCUUCCUGGAUCAGCUUAGACUUUGUGUGCUACAAGUUAAAGCCUGUCUCAGUCUGUUUCCUGUUGCUUUCACUGAAUACCACAGAUUAAUUUAUAAGGAAUAAAAGAAGCGUGCGGCUCAUGAGUCUAAAGGCCUGGAGGUCAAGGUCAGGCAGCUCCACUGUGGAAAGUCCUUGCUGCUGGGGAUUCUGUGUAGACUCAAAGCAGCGCAGGGCACCAUCUCUCUUGCUUUUUGUACAAAGCCACUGUCCCGUUGCAUCUGGGCACCACCUCUAUGGCCUCAUUUGACCUCAGUUAUCUCCCAGUGUUCCCAGCUUUAAAUUCCAUCGUCUGGUUAGCUCUCCUCCCUCUUAAUACCUCACAAUGGGGCUGAAAUCCCAACACAAGUUUUGGUGAGGACAUUUGACUCAUAGCAGAACCUCUACAUUCAGACAUGGGGUUGGCCUAGGACACUCUGUGAGUGACUGUGUGAUAAGAAAUGCCCUCAUCCUAGUUUCAGUGCCAGAGAGCCAUUCGUUCAUUUACCAUUGUGCAGAGAUGGACUAAGCAUCUGCUCCACUCCAGGUAUAGAGCAAUACUGAGGGAGCCUCUAUCUCACGGACCCUAGCGCCAGUCAAGGUCUGGGCCACUCUGGCUGUCACCUCCAACAUCCUCCUCACAGUCCUCAUGAGCCUGGUUUUCCUUUAAUGCACCAUGCCUCCCACACACAAUUCCUGCCUGUCCCUGCGUCUGGAGGAGACAGUCUGUUUCUCUUCUCUAAAGUCUCUGGCUUUGAAUCUUAGGUCAUCAGACUGUGUCAGCCUUGCUUGUGGCAGCCAGAUGGGUCCACUGCUCUUAUUCCCUAAAGAUUCCACAAACUGUAUCAUGGUCAUUCCCUUCAUUUAAGAAAAGAUUUUCUGGGGCCAGCACUUUGGCACAGUAGGUCAAUCCUCUGUCUGCAGUGCUGGCACCCCAUAUGGGUGCCAGUUCGCAUCCCAGCUGCUCCUCUUCUGAUCCAACUCUCUGCUAUGGCCUAGGAAAGCAGUGGAAGAUGGGCCAAGCCCCUGAACUUGUAUGGGAGACCCAGAAGAAGCCCCUGGCUCCUGGCUUAGGAUUGGCCUAGCUCUAGCUGUUGUGGCCAUUUGGGGAUUGAACCAACGGAUGGAAGACCUUUCUUUCUGUCCUCCCUCUCACUUUCUGUAACUCUACCUCUCAAAUAAAUAAUUUAAAAAAUUUAAAGAUAAGUAAAUAAAAAAAAUUAUUAUUUAUGUGAAAGGCAGGCAGAGAGAGAGAGAGAGAGAGAGAGAGAUCACCUAUCAUCUAGCUCACUUCCCGAAUGGCGGCAACAGCCAGUGCGGGGCCAUGUCAAAGCCAAGAGCCUGGAACUCCAUCCAGGUCUCCCAGGUGGGUGACAGGGGCCCAAGCGCUUGGGCAAUUCUCUAUUGCUUUCCCAAGCACAUUAGCAGGGAGCAGGAUUGGAAGUGGAGCAGCUGGGACUUAAACCGGUACUGACACGGGAUGCUGGCAUCUCAGGCAGCGGCUUAUCCACUGAACCAUGACACUGCCUUUGUACCACCCCUGCUAUGGUUCUUGGUGGUUUCCUGUACAUACAGAUGAUGUGCCACCACCACAGAUUCUGUGCCUUUGACUUCUUGUCCUCCAAUCAGUGCGCUGAGCAACAUGUUGGGAAUGUAAGUGCCAGGUUCUUGAAGUUUGCUGAAGAACUGGGAUGAUACCAGUAAGACAGACAUCUCAGAAUGCUGAAAGUCUUAAGAGAAUUAGAAGCAUCUUACAGGUUUUUGGAUAAUGUCAAUGGUUCUUGGAAGAGACUCCAUCCAAUGCACAGAACACAUGAGGAGUAUAAGUGGACAGCUCUCGGGAGACCAUGCUGAGGGUGAUGUAAUCCGUUUGGAAUACUGCAUUGAACACAAGUGUUCAUCAGUUGUAUAACUGUAUAGCUGUUAAACAGGGCUGCAUUACUAAAAGAGACUAGCCAGAUCUAAAAUUUAUAGUUUGUUACAGAAAAGGAUACAACAUAGCAAAUAGCAGCAAAGUAAGAAUGUGCAUCGCGGGACAGGGGUUUGCAAUAGCAGCAAUGAUGCCACCCGGGACACCAGCAUUCCAUACCAAAGUGCCUGGUUCAAGUCUUGGUUCUGCUCCAGAUUCCAGCUUAUAUAGAUCAUGGGAGGCAGCAGGUGAUGGAGUCCUGCUACCCUCAUGGGGGACAUGGGUUGUGCUCCCUGCUCCUGGCAUCAGUCUGGCCCAGCCUCGGCUGCUGUAAAUAUUUGGGGAGAGAACCAGUAGGUAGGAAAUCUCUCUCUCUCUCUCCCUUGUCUCUCUGCCUUUCAAAGAAAUAAAAUAAUUUUUAAAAGAAUGUACAUUACAACCAAAAGAGUCCUUUAUCCUCCUUUCCACAUAGAACGUGGCCACAGGGCCAGUGUUGUGGUGGGUGCAGUGGGUUAAGCCAUCGCCUGUGACGGUUGAUACCAGCAUGCCAUUUUUUGAGUGCAGGUUGGAGUCUCAGCUGUUCUGCUUCUGAUCCAGCUCCCUGUUAAUGCGCCUGGGAAAGCAACAGAAGAUGGCCCAAGGGCUUGGUCCCCUACUACCUACAUCAGAGACCCAGAUGGAGUUCCUGGCUUCUGGCUUCAAUCUGGCACAGCCCUGACCAUAACAGUCAUUUCAGGAGUAAAUUGACAGACAAAAAAUCUCUUUCUCUCUGAUCUCACUCUGCCUUUUAAAUAAAUAAAAUAAAUAUAAAAAAUGUGA
Molecule: non-coding RNA, 5405 nt
Organism: Oryctolagus cuniculus (rabbit)
Lineage: Eukaryota; Metazoa; Chordata; Mammalia; Lagomorpha; Leporidae
Source: RefSeq, a predicted model, not a curated record